ACGCACGCUGGCGGCGUGCUUAACACUUGCCAGUCGAACGGAAAGGCCCUGCUUUUGUGGGGUGCUCGAGUGGCGAACGGGUGAGUAACACGUGAGUAACCUGCCCUUGACUUUGGGAUAACUUCAGGAAACUGGGGCUAAUACCGGAUAGGAGCUCCUGCUGCAUGGUGGGGGUUGGAAAGUUUCGGCGGUUGGGGAUGGACUCGCGGCUUAUCAGCUUGUUGGUGGGGUAGUGGCUUACCAAGGCUUUGACGGGUAGCCGGCCUGAGAGGGUGACCGGCCACAUUGGGACUGAGAUGCGGCCCAGACUCCUACGGGAGGCAGCAGUGGGGAAUAUUGCACAAUGGGCGGAAGCCUGAUGCAGCAACGCCGAGUGCGGGAUGACGGCCUUCGGGUUGUAAACCGCUUUCGCCUGUGACGAAGCGUGAGUGACGGUAAUGGGUAAAGAAGCACCGGCUAACUACGUG
Molecule: ribosomal RNA, 467 nt
Filed under: uncultured bacterium
Lineage: Bacteria
Description: partial 16S ribosomal RNA
Rfam family: Bacterial small subunit ribosomal RNA
Source: RNAcentral